This 478-nucleotide long non-coding RNA is filed under the name Homo sapiens (human). RNAcentral's name for it is "long non-coding RNA NONHSAT059373.2". Lineage: Eukaryota; Metazoa; Chordata; Mammalia; Primates; Hominidae. The record is from RNAcentral.
AUGAUGAAGAUGAAGGGAAAGAGGAGAGGCACCUGUGGUAUUUUCUCCAGCCUUUUAGAAAACAUGGUGUUGUUCCUUUGGCCGCAUAAGUGCCAAUCUACAAGAAAGGUGAUACUGUAGACAUCAAGAGAAUGGGCACUGUUCGAAAAGGAAUGCUGCACAAGUGUUACCAUGGCAAAGCUGGAAGAGUCUACUGUGUAACCCAGCAUGCUGUUGGCAUUGUUGUAAACAAACAAGAUAAGAGAAAGAUUCUUGCCAAGAGAAUUAAUGUACAUAUUGAGCAUAUUAAGCACUCUAAGAGCUGAGAUAGCAUCCUGAAAUGGUAGGAGGAAAAUGAUCAGAAAAAGAAGGAAGCCGAAGAGAAAGGGAUCUAGGUUCAACCGAAAAACCAGCCUGCUCUGCCCAGAGAAGCACAUUUUCUGAGACCCAAAGAAAAGGAGCUCGAGCUGCUAGAAUCUAUUCCCCAUGAAUUCAUGGC